GUGUCAGCAGCCGCGGUAAUACGUACUGCGCGAACGUUAUUCGGAAUCACUGGGCUUACAGGGUGCGUAGGCGGCUUUUCAGGUCUGGUGUGAAAUCCCCCGGCUCAACCGGGGAAUGGCAUUGGAAACCGAAAGGCUUGAGGUAGCUAGAGGCAUGCGGAACUUCCGGUGGAGCGGUGAAAUGUGUUGAGAUCGGAAGGAACACCAGAGGCGAAAGCGGCAUGCUGGGGCUAUUCUGACGCUGAGGCACGAAAGCCAGGGGAGCGAACGGGAUUAGAUACCCUCGUAGUCC
RNAcentral lists this ribosomal RNA (292 nucleotides) under uncultured bacterium. RNAcentral's name for it is "partial 16S ribosomal RNA". It matches the Rfam family "Bacterial small subunit ribosomal RNA", at positions 505 to 796 of the family's 1533-position model. The record is from RNAcentral.